RNAcentral lists this ribosomal RNA (468 nucleotides) under uncultured bacterium. Its description in RNAcentral is "partial 16S ribosomal RNA". It matches the Rfam family "Bacterial small subunit ribosomal RNA", at positions 28 to 507 of the family's 1533-position model. The record is from RNAcentral.
GACGAACGCUGGCGGCGUGCUUAACACAUGCAAGUCGAACGGAAAGGCCCUGCUUUUGUGGGGUGCUCGAGUGGCGAACGGGUGAGUAACACGUGAGUAACCUGCCCUUGACUUUGGGAUAACUUCAGGAAACUGGGGCUAAUACCGGAUAGGAGCUCCUGCUGCAUGGUGGGGGUUGGAAAGUUUCGGCGGUUGGGGAUGGACUCGCGGCUUAUCAGCUUGUUGGUGGGGUAGUGGCUUACCAAGGCUUUGACGGGUAGCCGGCCUGAGAGGGUGACCGGCGUCAUUGGGACUGAGAGAGGGCCCAGACUGCUACGGGAGGCAGCAGGGGGGAGUAUUGCAGAAUGGGCGGAAGCCUGAUGCAGCGACGCCGCGUGCGGGAUGACGGCCUUCGGGUUGUAAACCGCUUUCGCCUGUGACGAAGCGUGAGUGACGGUAAUGGGUAAAGAAGCACCGGCUAACUACGUG